CUAAUUUUUAGGUUUUAUAUAUAUAUAUAUAUAUAUAUCCAAUUAAAUAGUAAAAUAAAUAAAAUUUCAGUAAUUUCUUAAAAAGGAUAGAAUGCUUUUUUUAUGAAAGAAUACUUGUACUUCUAAAUAAUAAAUAAUUAUUACAAUAAACAAUAAUUAUAUGAGAGUGGUAAUAACCAAACAUAUCAAAAUCUUUAAAAAUACUAUACUCGAAAAUAUAAAAAUUAAGAAGAUAAAAUAUUAUUUUAUAAAAAAUAAAUAAUAAAUAAUUAAUAUUGAAUCUAUAAGUCAUUUAUUGGAUUUUCAAAUACAAAUGAACAGGAUAUGCAAAUAAAUAAAAAAAAAAAACAGAAAAAUCUAUAAAAAGUUUCUUCUAUAAACAGAAAAGGGAAAAAAAAAACAUAUUAGAGAGUUAAUUACAUCAGUUGGAAAAGAUAGUGAUAUAUUUGGAUAAGAGAAUUAAUAUUGUCAUACUUCUAUUAAUUAAAAUCUGAAAACAACAAUAACAUAUAAAUCAAAAAUUAAAAAAUAAAAAAACACAAAAAAUUGAAAUCAAAAUAAUUCAAAGAGGCAACAAAAACAUAAAACAAAAAACCCUUGUGAAAGAAAAUUAUUGAAUAGAGGUAUUUAUAGAUUGAUAUAGGUACAUAGAUACAGAUAAAAAAACUCAAAAAAUUUUAAAGUUUAAAUUUUGAAAAUUUAAUAGUUUCAAAGUGGUUUAUAUCUUGAGAAAAUAAUAUAUAUAUAUAUAUAGAAGUAAAAAAUCGCAAAAAUUUAUAAAAAAGAAAAGUAGAAAGCUAAAAAUUUAUAGCGCCACAUCAGCAUUUUUAAAAUAUUUUUUGUUUUAGGAUUAUAUAUAUAAAUAGAUAUAGAUAUUGAUAUAGAUAUAGAUUUUUAUUAGUUCACAUGACGAUCUAAAAAUGGAUGAAAAUACUUUUAAAAUUUGAGUAAAAUUGAUAGAGAUGUAAAAAUAGAAUGAAAUUGCAAAACCUCUUAAAAUUCAAAGUAUUAUAAUGUAUUAAGCUAAAUAGCUUGUAAGAAGUUUCAAAAUUAAAUUGUUCUAAGGUUAAAGAAAAAGUUAAAAAACUUUCACAAUGAACUUUUUAAAAUAUGAAAAAGUUAGGAAGGAAAUAGAGUUUGGCUAAGUAUAUAAAUUAACUCGCUUUAUAACUUUAAUUCUAUGUCAUGUUGAACUUUGUGAAUUUUCUAUUGUGCAUUAAAACUUGCAAAUUUGAUAAUAGUAUACACUUUUACAUACUAAUAGCACUAAUUUUUAUGAUUUUUAACUUUAUACGUAAACUAUUGAAUUUAUAUGUAGUUAAAUUAAUUUUCAUAUAUUUUAAUUAUUUAAUAGGUGUUUAAUUGAUGUAAUUUUAUAAAUUAAAGUUUUCAAUAAAAUAAUUAUGCAAGUUGAAUUGUUUAAUUUGUGUAAUUUUACAAAUUACAAUAUUUAAUCGACUUAAAAUAAAAAUUGAGAGUGCCAACAAAGUUGUAAUAAAAUUCAAAGAUGAAUUUAUAUAUUCCGUCGUAGAGUUUUGAUAUCAUAGUAGAAAUAUGUUAAACUUUGAACCUAAUAAGUAUUAAGGUUAGUGUUAGGGUGAAUACUUAUUAAUUAGAGCCGUUAAAUUGAAUGAAAAUAAUCUGAUUAAUUUUUUAUAAUUGAUUGGUUUAAUUGCUCGAAUUAUUAAUUUGGAUAAUAUCGAUUUUGAAGUUUUGAUUUGAUUAUAAAAAAUAAAUUUAUCUAAAUUCAAACAGAGGUAAUCUAAUUUGAUUCAAUUUGGUAUAUAAUUUAAUUUUGCUUGAAUCUAGAAAAGAGAAUAUACUUCAUUUCUAUUUCUUUUCAGUACUUAGAAUAGAGGUUUAGGAAUGACAACAGUUCCGAACUGUUGAUUUCAAUUAUAAAUAGGGUGAAAUAAAAAUUGAUCCGUUUUUAAAUAAUUUUUAAAAACGUUUUUGAAAUUAUCGGUUCAAUUCCAUUAUAAUUUAGAAUUGAAUUAAACAACCAUUUUCAAGCUUUUAUUUAUUUUUUUAUUUACACCUUGAGUAAAUAAUUAUGAUAAAUAUUAAAUGUUUUCAAAUAAUAAUAAUAAUAUUGAAAAUACACAACCAAUUUAUCAAAAAGUGUUAAUUUUAAAAAAAUACAAUAAAUAAAAAAUAAUAUCAAGAGUUUUUUUUUUUACGAUUUUCAAACUGAAAUGCAUAUUUAAAUCAAAAUAGUUGUUUCUAAUUUUAAAAAAUAAAAAAUAAGUAUAAACACACAGUUUCAAUUACGAUUUAAAUUAAAACGUUAACUAUAGUUUGAUGUCGAUUUGGUUUUUCAAAACCCGCCUAAUUAAAAAGACGUUAGGUGAUUCAUAUACUUGACAGUUGUUUCGUGCUUAAUAACUACAUUGUUGAUAGUUGAUAGAAAUAAGUCUCAAUUAACUAUUGAUUUCAUCGGUUAUAUUUUGAAGUUUUUUGAAUGACGUGGUAGCUCAUUUACACUUUAUAUUAUUUUAGAUUUCAUUAUCUUCAUAAAAAUAAUUGCAAAUGAAUUUUUUUUCUUAUAAUAAUUUUAUUUAUAAUUAAUUAAAAUUAAAAUUUUUCUUAAAUAUUAAUUUAAAAUUUUAAUAAAUAUUUUUAUUUAUAUGAUAUAUUAAAAUAAAAAUAAUAUGUUCACCUUAAAUUAAAAAAAAUAUAUAUAUAUCUAUUAUACAUUAUACAUCACAAUUGAAUUAUACAAUUAUGCUCUUAAUAGUAAUUAUACAUUUUUUUGGGUAUUAAGAAAGAAAAUUUAAAUUUGAAUCUAUUAUCAUAUCGUAUAAAUAAUAUAAAUAAUAUAUGUAUUUAUCAAUAUACUAUUUUUUAGUGUAUAAUUUUAUAUACCUUAUAUUUUAAUAGCCAGAUCAAUUAGCUAUGAGUUAGUACGUAAUGCUCAAUCAAAUCGUCGUUAAAGUGUCAAGCUAGGUAACACUAAAUACCAUAUAAUAAAAAAUAUUUUUUUUAGUGUUGUAUUUUACUGGAGAUUCCGGGUUGAUCCAUUAACGAUAAUUAAUAUUGGACCCCAAUAAAAAAUAAUCCUACUAUAUAUACAUUAAAUAUUAUAUUAUUAAAUAAAAAAAAACAUAAAGCAGCGCAGCCUAUCAAGACUAGACCACCUGUUCUUAUUCUGUGUGGUUCAACACAAAACAAAGACAAAUCACUCACGGUCACACUUCACUCUUACCUCUACCUCUCUCCUCAACCACGGCAAAUGGCGGCCGCUAGAGUGAUGGCAGCAGCUGCCGCAACCAACGCAACGACGUCGUGUGGCCUUCUCCUUAAACGACCAUUCGUUUUGAACCAAAAGCCUUUCUUCAAUGGCGUCGGUUUCUGCUUUAAUGGCAAAAGACAAUUACCGUUGUUCUCCUCUUCAAAAAGAUCGGUUUUGACUUGUACUGCUAUACAUAACCCUGAUGUUAAAAUCAAAGAGGAAGGCCAGCCUGAGACCCUCGAUUACCGUGUGUUCUUCCUUGACAACUCUGGGAAAAAGGUCUUUCGUUUUAUCUUUGCUGUUUUUGUUUUGAUAUUCUGCUGUUUGGUUUGCUGGAAAUGUGGGAUGUCAAAGAAAUUUAAGUGGGUUAUAUUUAGGUUCUCCUCUAUCUGUUGAUUACAGUGUCAUGUUUAUACUGAUACUUGUGUUUUUUGAAGGAAAUCCAACGUUUUGUUCAGUUAUUGUCUGUGAUUUUGAUCUUUGGUUGGAGUUAUAUUAUGUGUGAUUUUUCAAUGUUUUGAUAACUACUUGUGGUAAUUUAACUAAAAAUUACCUCUUUUUAAGGUUUUGAUGGUUUUGAUGUUCAAUUAAUAUUUUAAGAAACUGUAUGGCUCAGUUUAGGAAAUUCUGUGUCUGUGUUAUUUGCUUCUUUUUUUUUCCCCCUUUGAAAGACACUUUAAAAAAAAUAAAAAAAUAAAAAAAUAAAACUGUAAUAGUUUGGCUAAUUUUAUCAGUUAUAUUUAUCUGCUGACAUGUAUUUCUUGCUUGCUAUGCAGGUUUCUCCUUGGCAUGACAUACCGUUGCACUUGGGCGAUGGUGCGUUCAACUUUGUUGUUGAAAUUCCCAAAGAAUCAAGUGCAAAGAUGGAGGUUGCUACUGAUGAGCAAUUCACUCCUAUCAAGCAGGACACAAAAAAGGGAAAACUUAGAUAUUACCCGUAAGAUUUUCUAGUUUCUUUCUUUGCAUUUUGUUUAUUAGUUUACGUCUUGAGGAUGCUUCUACUAGUUGUGAGAACUUGGAAAUAGUAAGUUGCUAUUACUUGGAGUGUGAAAUUGGUAAAAAAUUUUGGUCGAGUUCACAGUUGUUUGCACUAGAGAAAGUCCAAUUAUGGAACUCUGCAUUAGGGAUGUUGGAACUUGGGAGUAUCUCUUGGCUGUUUUUUUGUGAGUCAGUGAAUGUUGACCGGCUGAAUGUGAUGCCAUAUCCUAUUUGCGAACUGCGUAAUUUUUUCCAUCUUGCUCUGGGAUCUGCAUACUACAAUUUUUAUCUUGCAUUUAGAAUCUUAUAUUAUAACAUUGACCACUAACGUUAAAUCAUGGAGAUAGGAAUUCUCUUCCGAAUAAUAUGGAAAAACUUCUUGAUGCUUUUAGCAUUCGCCUGAUCUUAGUUCCUCAAUAUACUCAUUCAUCUUGAACUUGCAUGUAGGGCCAUGGUUUGAUCCUCUACUAUUAAACUUUUAGCCUGUUUAUAUAUUUCCUUGGUGCCUACUAUAUAAAAAAGAAAAAUAAGUCCCAAUAUAUUGAUCCAAUUUUCCAAAAUUCACAAGUCUGAACUCUCUUUCUCAUUAUUAUACUUGCAUCAACUCAAACUGACUUUGCUUUUUCAUUAAUGUCGGCAAUGUUCUUUGAUCAAGUAUAUAAGUAUGAGCACUGUCCUCUCACCAUCAUUCUACUUCAAGGGUUAAAACAUCUAAUCCUUGCAUUAGUAAUCAUCAGCACACACUUCAGCACUUACAAUUAAAUUAAAGUGACAUAGAUGUGCGAGUGACUGACAUGGUCGUUCAAUAAUCAAUACUCAUUUUGGAGGUUCCUCAGCCACGACCAGUCUACUACCCCCUUUCACAGUAUUUUUUGGCCUCAUAAUGAAACCUAUGUUGUAUGGUAUUCGAUCUUAGGUUUGUUUGGUGCUUCAAAUAGUUUUAUUGGUAUGUUUUUGCAUUUUUGUGACGCAAGGCGCAUGGGACUUAGAUGCUUGUUUGUUUGUUUUCAACGCCAAUUUUUAAUGGAAGGAUUAAUAAUAAAUGAAACUUAGUACUAGAACAGAAUUGAGAUGGCAGUUAAAAUGACAUCUUGCCUUCUUCUUUUUUAAGUAGAUAAUAGUUUAUUGGACAUACCCAUCCCCCCCCCCCCCCCCCCCCCCCCCCCCCCCCCCCCCCCACCCACCACAAAUUAAUAAUAAAUGAAACUUAGUACUAGAACAGAAUUGAGAUGGCAGUUAAAAUGACAUCUUGCAUUCUUCUUUUUUAAGUAGAUAAUAGUUUAUUGGACAUACCCAUCCCCCCCCCCCCCCCCCCCCACAAAAAAAAAAAAAAAAAAAAAAAAGUUUAGUUUACUGCCUUUUACUUCAUGUAUAAUUUUCUCCUCAUUCUGCUAUAUUUUCUUUUAACGUACAGCUUGUACAGUGAUUUUACACACAACCUUAUAAUCUUAUGGACCUUUUCAAGUUUAUAUAACUUUCAUAUAAUUCUUUCAUCAAUAGAAGAAGCUACAACUUGUUGUAGUUGGUGUACUUUUUAUAUGAUUAUUAUUGAUUUCAUUGUGCACGUUCUCGGUUAUGGCAGCUUGUAUACUUAGACAAGCCUUAAUCCCAAACUAGUUGGUUGGCAACUUGUUAGUUGGAUCAAUAUCUUAUUUAAAAUAUCAAUUGUCUUCUACGCUUGUUUCAUUCUUUCAUGUAAUUUUAUCACUUUAUCCUUUGUUAUUUUUCUUCAGCUAUAACAUAAACUGGAACUAUGGAUUGCUUCCACAAACAUGGGAAGAUCCAUCUUUUGCAAACCAUGAAGUUGAAGGGGCAUUCGGAGAUAAUGACCCAGGUAUAUCAUCAUAACUUGUUUCAAAAUCUUUCUUUCCAGCAUAUUGGCACUUAAAUUAGUUACAUUAUUUUCUCAAAUUGUAGUUGAUGUUGUUGAGAUUGGUGAAAGACGGGCAAAGAUUGGUGAAAUUCUAAAGGUGAAGCCCCUGGCUGCUUUAGCCAUGAUUGAUGAGGGUGAACUUGACUGGAAAAUUGUCGCAAUCUCAUUGGACGAUCCACGAGCUUCUUUUGUAAACGAUGUUGAUGAUGUGGAGAAACAUUUCCCGGUAGGCUUCCUUCUCUUUGCUAUUGUGAUGUCCAUAACCUGGAUAACAAUGGUUUUCUAUCUGUACCAAUAUAACCAGGAAAAAAGACGUGUCUGUAUGAUGGGAAUCAAUUAUUUAUAGUUUCUUCAUUAAUUUCAGUCAACACAUUUGUUUACUAGCAGGCUAUGUGGCUUCCCAGAAGUUGUCUUUUAAUGGAUAUAUUGCCAUGAAAUGGUUGGCAAAAUAAUAUCCAGUCAUAAAUAACAAAAUAGUUGAUAUAAAUAGCUGGCAGUAUGUUGCAAAUGUAAAAGUACGAAGUCACGAUAAAGAUGUGUCGGGAGAGAUUUUAUUGGAAAUGUUGAGUUUGUUGAGUUGGUGGAUAUAGAGAUAGAAUAACAUCCAGUUAUUAUGAUAUUGUAUGAAGUGACUAAAAAAUGCAUUAUGCCAAGGUCAUGUAUUGAUACUGAAAUCAGGAAUACUGUAAUUAAUUGUUUACCAAGUAUACAACUAAUCUGCUGGUGUUUUCAUUAGGGAACUCUGACUGCAAUCAGGGACUGGUUUAGAGACUACAAGAUCCCUGAUGGUAAGCCUGCUAACAAAUUUGGUCUUGGGAACAAGGCAGCAAACAAGGUAUUCUUCUUCCUAAUUUUCCUUUUCUUAUUACAUGUUAUACAGCAUAGGCUUGCUUUAAGGUGAUAUAUGUAUAUGGUAUUUCCGUUUCACAUUUUGGACCCAAUACAAACUAGGGAAUAAAUCAUUCCAUAUUCUGUAAUAAUACAUACACAUUUGAUAAUUUAGUGCCUUGUUAAAUUGUAGCCUCAGCUAAAGUUUAGGAUUCUAGCUGCUAAACAAUAUAAUGCUUGAGACUUGAGAAGGAUACUGCAGCUCCUUAGCUAUAGUGACUGAUGUCUCACGAUUAGUUGUCCUUAUCUAAUGACUAGCAAUAAUAGGAAAUUCGUAUGUGGUAUAACCAUACUUGAAGUAUAAUUGUUUUUCUUUCUCCUAUGCAAAUUAGAUGUUUAUUGCUAGCAACUUCAUAUUAUAAAUGAUUAUUUUCCUCAUAUGAUUUACAAUGUCUUUGUGAUGAGCAGGAUUAUGCUCUGAAGGUUAUCACCGAAACAAAUGAGUCUUGGGCUAAACUAGUCAAGAGAACAAUUCCUGCUGGAGAGCUCUCACUUUUAUAAAUGCCUCGAACAGAGUUGGAGCUUGAAGUAGCAGUUGCUUUGGUUGUCGCUUGCCAGAGUUUUGCUUUCUGGCAAGCCAGUCCUAGUUAUCAACACUUUUUUUCCCAUUGAGUUUGAAUAAUCCAUUGUUUCCAUGUUUCAUAUGAUGAAAUCACUACAUUCCAGGUUGAUUCUAAUGCAUUUCCAUUUUCUAGUGCUUUUCUUGGUUCAAUUUUAUCCUAUAUUAUUUACUUUUCUUAGUUUCCACUUUUGUAUUUGUAUAGAGGAGGGAACAAAAAAAAAGACAAAUGAAAAUAAACUAAUAUUUCACAUUAAACAAUGCAUUUUUUAAUUCUUUUCUUUCUAUAAUUUGGAGAGAUUCUAAUUUUAUGAGCCUGGAGGAGAUGGUAUUUAUUUUUCAUUCCGUGGAUGUUUUCCUCAUCUUUUUCAAAUAAGGGGGAAAAAAAAUUCCCUUCCUAUUUUCCUCACAUAUUUUGCCCUUUCCCAAGAAAAAAAUAAUCCCAUUACCAAACCUGGUUUCCUUCAUUGCUUUUUACUUUUUUUUUUUUUUUGACUGAAAAGAUAUCUUAAUUAUUAUUAAAAUCCAUCAACAAAACAUCAUGAAUAAUAGAUGGAGGAGACAGUUCCCACUCCAUAGGGCCAGACAUAGAACUAGUAGCCUUAGCUAACAAAAGCUGAGGACAAAGAAGAAAACUCCUGCAUAAGGGUUUUACAAUCUAAGAUUAAAGAGCCAAAAUAAGAGAAAUCCUCUCACUGCGAAUUCAGAGCUUGUAACACAGUUAAACAAUCACCUUCAACCAUUACUUGAGGCUGUCCACCCCUAUUCUUCAACCAACUCAGCGCCUCUCUUACGCCCUAGACCUCUGCCAUAGCUGCACUAGAGACAACCCAGAAUCUGCAUUUUACCACCCAUACACACGCCUCUAUCGUUCCUCAAAAUCCAUCCUGCACCUGCCCGACCUGUUGCACUAUCAUACCCAGCAUCAACAUUUAGUUUGAAACCUGUAGCUGGACGUCUCCAUUUUGCAACUGAAGGUGGCUGGAUAUCUGCUUCUUGACUUGAGUCCCCUACCCGAACUUCCGUCCAAGCUCUUAAGAAAGUAUGAGCCCGUCGAACCACAGACCCAGACAUCGGUUGUUUACCCUGCCAAAUAAAAGAAUUACGAGCACACCAUAUUACCCACGCCAACAUACCAGCUUCGUUCAGCUUCACAUCAUCACAACAGGACAUUAACAACUGAAACCACUCCUUAAAAUCUGAAACCGCACUACCAUCCUGUCACUGAUCCAUUCCAGCAUUCCUUUGCGAAUUCACACGUAACUAGACAAUGCAGCAUACUUUCUGUGCUAUGAUUACAGAGUGGACAUAACAAAGGCACUUGAACAUUUCUCCUUCUUAAAACCUCAUAAACUGGCAAGAUAUCCGAAACAGCUCUCCAUAAAAAAUUUUUGACCUUUGGAGGACACCCAAAGCCCAUAUCUUCUUCCACACCAGCACCGGCACCUGUGACGACCAAGAAUUCUGAUUCUCCAAAAACUGAUAGCCGCUUUUUACUGUAUAAAUUCCCUUGGAGUCAUGAUACCAAUACCAGCUAUCCUCAGUAACAACACGCGAGAGAGGUAUAUGCUCAAUCAACUGAGCCUCAUGGGAAGUAAAAAGCUCAUGCAAUAACUCAGUAAUUCAGUAUCCCAUCUGCGGGUAUUAGGAAUAAACAAAUCUGCUAAGUUAACACUCUCCAUAACUGUCAAAUUCAAAGACUGAAUGCGAAAAUGUGGAGGGUCCGGCACCCACGGGCAUCCAUAGACUGAAGUAUUAGUCCCAUCCCCUAUCCGACGUAAACAACCAGCCAUUAACGGCUUUUGACCAGCCAUCAAAGAUUUCCAGAUAAAAAUGGGGUUUUUGCUGAGCUGAGCAAGUAAAAAAUCAGAUCUUUCAUAAUAGCGUGCUUGACAAAAUUUUACUAACAAGGGCUGUAGGCCUAGUUAGUAAAUUCCAUCCUGUUUUCGCAAGCAUCGCCACAUUAAACCUGGCCAGAGACCGGAAUCCAAUACCUCCUGCAGCUUUAUUACGACACAAAAUUUUCUCCAUGAGAACCAAUGUAUUCCCGAUUUUUCCUUUAUGUGUUAUUUAUAUACAUUACAAAUGUUUACAUACUCAUAUUAAAUAUAAAUUUAAAAUAUGUUAGUCUCAUAUUGAUUAAUUCUAAUUAUUUUGAUAAUAGUUGGACUCAUCACAAACUCAAAUUUAAAAUUCUAUAUUCUACUAUAUUUUUUUGUUUUCGGAAAAUAAUUUAGCUUUAGAAAUUCAUUUUCUAUUAUUUGAUUGCAAUAUAAAACUUAAAAUUUUGUUAAUUUUAAGACUUUAAAAUUUUUAUAUUUCAAAAAUUAUAGUUAAAUAUGAAAAAUAUGUAAAAAUAUACUUACGGGCUAUGACUCAGUUGACAAUGUAGAUUGAACAUUUGGAAAAAGCUCUCAAGUUCGAUCUUCACUAAGCGCACCUGCAGGGAGAGAUAAAAAAUCUCAACUAUAAUUAAAAUAUAUACAUAUAUAUUAAAUAUUUGGGGCCAAUAAUUGGUGGUGACUGUUAAUUAACUGCAAUUGAUCAAAAUGUGUAUUUAUAUGUGAAAAUAAAAUAUGUGUUUAUACAAUUUUAAUAUGUUUAUCCAUAUCUCUCUUUUUCUUUUUUCAAAAAAAAACAAAGUUUAUCCACAUCUAAUUGGAAAUUAUACAAAUAGAGACUUAAUUAUCAACCAUACCGUGCAAAACAGUAUAAAAGACACAGAGUUGGAAGUUCUGUAUUGUACGUAAUAACACAAAAUAAACGCAGAGAGUAGAUAUGAAGAGAUCGGCGGGAAACGCAUUGGUAUUGGCUGAAGAGGCUAGGAAGGCAGCCAGAAGAGCAAAGCUGGCCGCGCUGGCGGCUGUUGAAGCAGCAGUAAAGGCUACUUACUCCAACAUCCGCCGCCGCAGAACCCACCCUCCCCAUGCACUUCACAGCAGCGUUGUAAACUCUCAAUUGAAAUCCAGAACGACACCGCUUGCUUCAUCUACGUUCGGCAAGUUCUUCGGUCUUGUUGAUCCUCCUUGCACUGAAAGAUCCAAAAUCAUCUCUCAAUUCACCAAAAUGCAUGUUCGCCUGGUACUGUAACUUUAAUACCUUUUACCUGUUUUGACGGCUGACAGUUUAUUUGCGUUAUAGUUUCGUUCUAGUUUCGUUCAUUAAUGUCCUCCACGUGUUUGACGAAUGAACCAAGAGAACGGAUAUAGCUCGUAACUAGUUGAAAAUUUAUGUACUCUUUUUUGAAUUUUGACGCGACUGCUUUGUACCACUGUCUUGCAGAACCCUGGAAUGAGGAAGGACCGUUUGUUUGAGCAUAAAAUUAUGCAUAUGGUCAGUUCAGGAAAGAGGAUUGGACUCGAAGAGCUUACCAAGUUUCUGUCCAAGUAAUUGAGACUUUACAGUUCGGGUCUUAAGGUUUUUUAGUCUCCAUCAUUGCUUUGCUACCGCAUUUUCUUUCGACAUAUUUAUGGCUUUGAAGAUUGUUUCAGAUAUGUAUAAACUAUAAUUAAAACUAGUUGGAAUUUAAGCAUUGACAUUUUAAGAUGUUCUAUGCAAAAUCAAAGAAGGUUUUUAUUCCUCCCUCCCUCUUUUUGUUAUGGUGCUUUAUUUUUAAUUAUGGUUUGUCUGUUACAUCCUUUUGUCCCACCUACUACUUGAUUAAUCAAGUGAUAAUUACACAAAAAUAACCCUUUGGCCACAAAGAAAAAGAAAAUGGAUAAAGGGAAAAUAUUUGAAAUUUUUUUGUAAGAUUUGCAAAAGAGAAAAAAAAAAAAACAUACAAAACCCUAUUGAUAUUUACCCAAAAAUUGAAGUGAAAAAUUAACCCUAAGAUCAUGUGACAACAGUCAAAUCCAAUUCAAAAUUUGUAUUGUGUGUCUGUUUCUCCUCUUUAAAAACUCUAGAGUUUUUUAAAUUUUUUCAAGCUUUGUUUUCUGAAUAAUUGAAAUUAGUUUAUGCUGAAGAAACCAAUUAGACAAAGAAACAGAGAACAAACAAAGAGCCAGAAUUUUCAUCAGAAAGUUUGAUUGAUGUUGAAAGAGUAAUCAUUUUAACUUGUACCUUUCCUUUGUAUUUGAUAUGCAUGUUUUGCUAUUAGUAGUUUAUCUAUUCUGUAUUUAACUAUUGCAUUCAAUUGCGGCAUAUGCCAAAUAUAGCUGCAAGGUUUCGAAACCCAGAAGAGCUUUGCAAAAGAGAAAACACAUAUGAUUUCAUGUAAUCAUUAGUAUAUGCAUGCACAAUUUUAUGAGAUUUGCAAAAGAGAAAAAAAAAAUUACAUAGAAAACCACAGCUACUGCUUGAUCAGUCAAGUGAUAUUUACACAGAAAUAACCCUUUGCCCACAAAGAAAAAGAAAAUAGAAAAAGUGGAAAUAUUUAAACAUUCCUUAAGACCAGCAGCUAUGUUCAAGAGAUUCUUCAAAGCUCUUUUCCAUAGCAGAAGAAGAAGAAUCAACAGCAGGCAAACAAUUAGAAAGAUCAGUAGUGGAUGAAUCUUUAUCUUGAUUAUAUCUUCCUUUGAACCAUUUGAUUGCAGAAAACUUAACCUCAAAAAAAGAAUAAGGUGGAAGAGGAGAGGCUGUUGAAGGAGGAGAAGGUGAUUUAAUAUGGGUUGGAAGAAUUAGCAUUGCAGCUGUAGGUGCCAUUGUUGUAACUUUUGAAAAUUCCCUUGGAAAGUGACAAGCUUUAUAGUCUACUUGUAGACUGAUAAAGGAUAAUAAUGGUUGGCUUGAAUUAAAACAGGCAAACAAAAUCUGUGGGUUCAAUUAGUUGGUUUUGCUUGUGGGGACAAAAAUUAAAUGAGGUCAACACCAUGGUAACCACUGACCAGUUUGACAAAAUUUAGAAGGUAGGGUUAAUUACACUUUGAUCCUCAUUGUUUUAAACUUAUCAAUUUCAGUCUUUGAGUUUGGUUAAUAAUUAACAAUUCAAUCUUCAAUUUUGAAAUUAUGAACUUUUUUUUUUGUCACACUUGAAUUCUUGAUCCUGUAGCAUCUUUUUGAUACAUUUUAUUCUUUAAAAUUUUAAGGUUAAUUGUGUUUUAGUUUCUAGAUCAUAAAUUUUUUUUUAAAGAUAUUCUAAUAUCUCACUAAUAUAGAAUUAAAAGUUACUUAUUUUAAAACAAGAAGGACUCAAUUAUUUAUUGAAUGAAAUUUUAAAGGUUAUCUUAUAAUUAAUGCUAGAAAAUAUUAGGUAUAUUUUAUUUAGACCUGUUUCGAUAAGCGAGGGAGGAAUAGAAAAUCGACUUUUAGUGUUUGAAAUUCCAAGUUCUAGUUAAAAAUAUUUGAUAAAUCUAGCAAAUAAAUGAAUGCUAUUUUAAAAUUUAGUGAUGAUGGUUAAAAAAUAUAGGAAAAAUUUGGCCUCUUUUGGUUGCAGCCAAUUAUGAUUAGACAAGUUAGUGGGACAAGUAGAUUUAGUUGUUGUUGAUUCUUAUCGUCUCUCUGUGUUCUAAAGGGGAACGCUGUUUUGCUGAUGCUGUAUGCUAUCCUUGUCUGGAGACAGGUUCAUCUAAUAUUGGAUUAAUUUUUUUUCUAUUUUAUCUUUAUUUCCAAAAUUCACAUUACCAAUUUACGAAUAUGGCCCAUUGGCCCAAUACUCAAAUUACUUUACCAAGUUCCCUCUCACUUCCCUCCGUUUUCCUCAAGAACAAACGUUCCCUUCUGUCUGUUCGAAAAUGGGAAAGAAACGAAAGGUUCCGGUGGUCCUAUGGAAGCUAUUCAGGGACAGAGCACAGACCUUAGCCACCGUUAUCACAUCUUUAAUUCGACCUCACUCUUCAUCGCCACCGCCACAUCCACCUUUCUGCCAAUGCAAGGGUCGGCUCUGCCUCAACUGUUGUGGUAGUAGUGAAAACGCCAUGUCUUUUCUCGUACAACCCCGAGAUCCACUCGAUUAUCGCAAUCUCCUCAAUAACUGCUUCGUUGUCGUCAAUGACAAUGCUCCUCUUGUUUCUGCUGCUGAGUCUCGGCCUCAUAACAACUGGCCCCAAAGCGAGGUUGUUUAUUGUUAACAAUCGUCAUGUCGUUUAUGCAUAUAAUCUUGCAAGUUGGUUUAUCAAGUAAUGUGCUUGUUGUGGUUUCAGAUUGUGGUGAGGACUAUUGAAAUGAUAAUCAGAGAGCAACCGGCGAAUUCGAAUGUAAUAUGCAGUGCUUAUAACAAGGCAAGUAAUUUAUAAAUGCUAAUAUUUACACCUUCAUUAUAUAGUUAAUUUGACUAACUUGAAUUCGUCUUGAAAUUACAUGUUUUAAGUAUAAUUCUUAUAUCUUAUGUAUUUGAAUUGGAUUGGAAUCUUGAUAGGUUGCAUCUGUUUAUUUAUUUAGUACUUCUUUUCCUUAUUUGAAGGUUUCUUUCGUUUUUGUUGUUUGGAUGACAGUGUAAUCACUCAAGCCCCAUUGUUGACCUUCUGACGUCUUCAGCAUGGAGUCUUCUAUUAAAAAGGGUAUAAUGUGGAUUUCAACUAUUGACUGAUUAUGUUCUUUGAUGUUUUUCAUCAAAUUAUAUGAGUUGGUGCGUAAAUUCCAUAAAUUGCAGGUGGGGGAUGGUAUCAUGAUAUAUCUUCUAAAGCAUACAUCAAUAUUUUUGCCACUUCCUCUUAAGAAACACCAUCAGGUGGCUGGUCCACCUGUGAAUAAUUUGGUUCUUAAGUUGUUGAAGCAUACAACAGUGCCACGACAAUGUCAAGAUCCUUUGGUCAUCCAUUUUGGUAAUUAAGGGUUGAUAAUUUCAUAUUUUUAAUAGGUGUCUAAGGAUGUAAUUGCUUUGUAUUAUUUCUUGAGUAAGUGAUAACACAUGUAUGUAGACGCACUUGCUUGUCCUUUUAUUUUUGAGGAAAAGCAGUUGAGAAAUGCUUGCUUAUGUUUUUGCGGAAUAAACUCUAUCUAUUUUCCUAUUCUACUGUAGGUCCAAUUUGUCUGUUUUCAAUCACUACAUUGAUCUGAUAAUCAUAACUCUGUAUAUAUGUAGGCUUAAAGAAACGGGAAGAUUUAUGUUGCCUGGUAGGGAAGUUGACAUACCAUUAUUUCCUUCGAUGUGUUAUGAAUCAGAAAAUCUGGAUGCUAGAGAUAAACUAAGUUUGUUAUAUUUUUUAAACAAAUAAGAGAAUCUGAAUGCUAGAGAUUGUGUUUUGUAAUGUUAUUGUUUCUUAUUCCCAUUCUAUAUUUUCUUCAUACUUUCUUGCUUUUAUAAUUGUAUCAUAUCUUGCUCAGUUGCAAUAUAUUGCUUACUUGUUAAACUGAAAUUAUGGACUGCAUCAUUAAAGUGUGACUUCUUUUUGACAGGACGCAGGAAGAAAAGGAGUAGGGAUGAUAAAGCUAACUCAACAUGUGAUAUACAACAACGUAAUACUCUCUCUACUCAAGGUUCCAUAGAUUGUGUUGGUAGUAAUGGUAGCAAUUAUAUAAAGCAAGGGCAUCUGAAUGAGGAAAUGGUGAAUCCUAGAAAGCGACUGCGACCUUUUAGGUGGCAGCGCUGCAAAAAACAUAAGCAUUCAGAUAUCAAUGAAAGCACUAGUCUAAGGCGUUGCAAUGUUCAGAUGAAUGUACCUGAAGCAUCUGCUCCUAGAACCAGAGUUUGUAGUCUGAGAAAUGAAGGGUACUCAAAUGAAAAACUUCAAGGCUCAAAUCAGGUUUCACCAAAACCUGGAAAGCAUUCAAGACUAUUUAGGUGGCAGCGCUGCAGAAAGCGCAGGAAUGCAGAUAGUGAAGAAGCCAGUAAUAACACUUGUUGCUCCACUGAUCUUAUUAAGGAACAUAAAGCACCUGAGAGACUUCCAUGUGACCUUAGUGAUAGUAAAAGCCAUUCCCAUGAAAAGGUAAUUUUGAUUUUCGCAGAAUGGUGAAAUGGUCACUUUCAUUCAUCCUAAAAUAUCAGUAGGUUAUAUUUUUUCCGCUGGUUCAGAGAUGGUUUUGUGCAACCCAGUUUCUGUAAAUUUCCUCUCUGUUCAGUUAUUUAUUUCCAUAACUGCAGAUGCACCAGCAAUGCUCUUGUGUUCUUCUAUUGGAAGCUGCACAUAUGAACAUGAAAAGGGCACAAAUUUGUAGGCGACCCAUAUUUUAUAAUUUGGAAUGUUCUUCAUCAGUUCUUCCACAAAAACGUAUCCUUCCAUGUAUAUUAAAGUUUAAAUGUCUAUUACGUUCUCGCUUCUUACUUCUCUGCUUGCUUAAAAUUGCGGUAUUUGUUGCCCACUCUACUGAUUUUUUAUCCGCGAAAGUGUUUUUCUUUAGCAGCCAAGCAACCAAUUAAUGGUGUUCUUGUAUUUGUAAGUAGUCUUUCUCACCUUCAGACUUGUGCUGUUCUAAGGUUACACAAAAAAUUGUAACCUUAACAACAUUCAGAUAUAUUAAAUUCUUUAAAGUCAAAUUUCGCAGGUUCAAAGUCUCUUAUUGGCAGUGUUUUUGGCUUAUCUCUUGUAAAUUUGAAUGCUCAAUCAGUGCCAUGCUCCAACAGCAGUGGCUUCUGCCGCUCAGGAUCAACAUGCUUGUAAGCUAAGCUUUUACACACAGUAAUUUAGUAUUUUAAAGAUUUUAAUAGUUCUUCCCUAGAUUAUUUCAUUCAGUUGAUUUCAUAAACAGUUCAGUUUACACUUAUGUUGACAACUGAACCAAAUCCAAUACACUCUGAUUGGCUAAGCUUGUUAAUAGAAUAGGUUGGAUGGCUUUACCCUUAUUAAAUUGACUUUGGAGUCCAUUACUAACAUUAAUUGCUAUAGCUACAAUUUUUGUGAAUUCAAGAACAUGACAAAAUCAUAUUUUUCUGUGCCAUACUGUAAUUGAAUCUGUGUAGCCAAAUACCUCUUUUUAGGGACUUCAUAGAAAACUUUACACAUGAUUAUGAGUAUAGUUAGUAGCUCUUUUAGUGAAGCUAUUCUUUACAAGUGAUAUGCUAACUCAAUGCCUUAAUCUCCUUUUGAUUUAAUUUCUUAGGUAUCAUUUGCUUGCUAAGUUGUUUAAGGUUCUUAUACGCCGAACUCAUUGCUGCAAGCAUGUUAGAUUAUUGGAUAAGCAUUGCAUGGUUUCAUCGUCAAUUCAGACUACCAAUCAAAAUUCAACUUCGUUUGAGGUUAGUUUUCAGCAUAGAACUUGUGUGAAGUGUAAGAGACAUGUGAUUCUAAUUUAAUAUACUUUUUUCUUGUUAAAAAACUGAAAUUUAUUAGCAAGUCUUUUUCAGGAGAAUGAGUUGGAGAAUAAAAUUUCUGAGAAAUCUCAUGGUGUUAAUACUGAAUCUUGCAAUGAUCGCCAAACUGAGGCAAUAAAGUCCUAUUGCUCAAAGAGUCAGGUGGUGUCAUUUAUAUGGGCUGUCUGUAGAAAUUUAGUUCCUCCAGAUUUGUUAGGAACUCCUUCCAACUGGAGAAUCCUAACGAGGAAUAUUUCCAAGUUAAUUUAUCUAAGAAGAUAUGAGAAGUUUUCAUUGAAACAAUGUAUGCAUAAACUGAAGACUUCAGGGUUCCCCUUUCUAUCAGAUAAACAUUCUUCAUUUUACUUGGCUGCUGGGGUGCAGAAUAAUGUGCCACGUCAGAAUUUAGAGAUGCAGAAGGGAUCAUGCGAAUUAAAUGAUGCUGUGAGUAGUUUCAAACAUAAGCUUUUAGAGAAAUGGAUAUUCUGGUUUUUUUCGUGUCUGGUGGUGCCAAUACUACAAGCCAACUUCUAUGUCACUGAAAGUGAGCAUGGCAAACAAGACCUCUUUUAUUAUCGGAAGCCAAUAUGGGAAAAGGUGAAAAAUAGAGCCAUUACAUGCUUGAAAGACCGUAACUAUCAGUAUCUAAAUGCCAUAACCGUUGAAAGUGUUAUAGGCAAUAGGUUAUUUGGGUUCUCGAAGCUCAGACUUUGCCCAAAAGAGAAUGGAGUAAGGAUGCUUGCAAAUCUUAAAGCGCCAUCUAGAAUGAUUCAAGCAUCCUCAUCCACUGGAAUGCUGGGAAGAGCACAACUUUGCUCCAAGUCAGUUAAAUAUAAGCAUUUCAAGUCAGUGAAUUCCAUUCUUCGUGAAACACAUGCUGUUCUGAAAGGUAUACUGUUAAAAGAACCAGAAAAGUUAGGGUCAUCAGUGUUUGACUACAAUGAUAUAUAUGGAAAGUUAUUCAUGUUUAUUCUUGGCUUGAAGAAUGAAUUGGGUACCUUGCCCAACAUAUUCAUUGUUGUUUCUGAUGUGUUGAAGGCAUUUGAUUCUGUUGAUCAGGAUAAGCUGAUUAGUGUAAUGGAAGAUCUCAUAGUCGAGGAUGAAUAUCUUCUACGACAGUCUUCUCAAGUGGUUUGUACUAAGAAGUCUUUGUGGACUCAAGAGAAUCUUAUAUUAACAGAUACAGAUAUCAGUACUGGUUUUACAAAGUUAAGUUCUUCUGCUCGCUUUGGUUCAUUACAUACAGUGCUUGUUAAUCAGGUAGUUGAUCUGAGUUGCUCAAUUGUUUUUGCCAGUUCUUUAAUAGGGAUAACUACACUCCAAGUUCCAAUAUCUUAUGUUGUUGAAUCAAGUUUCUUUCGAAAAUUGUCUUAAUACUCCAUGAACUCAAAUUAUUACUUGUAUUCAAUUAAUAUGGGAUGGCAAGGUUAGGAUGCAGGUGUUCAAUAGGAACAUGAACACAAAUUAUUAGUUGUAUUCACGUUAAACAAUAUCUCUUUGUUGCAGGGGUUCAAUAGGUAUAUGAAGAAGAAAGAGCUUCUUUUCAAUCUAAAAGAGCAUGUGAAACGAAACGUACUGCAGUUGGAUAAAAAAUUUUACUUGCAAGGCUUAGGUAUACCACAAGGAAGUAUCUUGUCUUCCCUGCUUUGCUCAUUGUACUUUGGUCAUCUUGAAAGAAAUGUGAUCUUCCCAUUUCUUGAAAAAAUUCGUGAACCUGCUAUUAUAGAUUUAUCUGGAAGUAGCAAUUGUCAGGGUGCUUCUGCUGCUGUAAGUAACAGAGAGAAUAGAGUCAUUUCAUCCUCUUGUUAUAUGCUGCUCAGAUUAAUUGAUGAUUUCUGCUUCAUAUCAACCUCGAAGAAGCUGGCUACUGGCUUUUAUACCAGGUUGCAGAGAGGAUUUCGGGAUUACAACUGCUAUAUGAAUGAAGAAAAAUUUUGUCUUAAUUUUGAUACAGAAAAUGCAUCUGGUAUUCCAUCCAACAGGGUUUACAUUGGUGAAGAUAGAACCUCAUUUCUUCGAUGGAGUGGCUUGCUUUUGAACUCUUGCACUUUAGAAGUUCAGGCAGAUUACACCAGGUUAGUUUUUAGUGAUUUCUCACGGACAUAUGCAUCAGAUACUCAGUUGGCCUAUAGCAUGCUCGUGCUUAAUGUCAUUCUAUCAACUUGGUCAACUCGUUCACCUCUAUGCUCGAUGUGUUCAUAAAGUAAUUUGCUUAAUCUCAUUUCACAGGUAUCUGAACCACCAUUUGAGGUCAACUCUUACCGUCUCCUGGCAAGGUAAACCUGGUUGCCAACUUAAGGCAAAGUUAUGUGGCUUCUUGAGACCUAAGUGCCAUCCCAUAUUCUUCGAUUCAAACAUUAACUCAGGACCUGUUGUUAGAUUAAAUAUCUAUCAAGCAUUUUUGUUAUGUGCAAUGAAGUUCCAUUGCUACGUUUCCGAGAUGUUGUACACAUGCAAACUACACCCAAGAUACCAUUUAAAAAUUAUUGAAAGGUCCUUCAGGUACACAUUUCUUACUUCUUAUCUUCUUUUCCCUUGAGCUCCUUCAACAUCUUAUUAUACAUUUUUGCUGCUUCUUUGUUUUCUGAAUACAGGUAUAUGUAUAUUCUAAUAAAGAAAAAGAUGUCUACUGCACAUAUCGGUUCUCAUUUCCAUCCCAUUCUUCAAUUGGAGGCGGGAGAAGUUGAAUGGCUUGGGUUGAAUGCUUUUAUCAAGGUAUUGAAGAGAAAACAAUCUCGGCAUAAAGAUCUGCUACGUUUGUUGAAGUCCAAGUUGUCAGCACAUAGAAUAAAUGGGAGUGUAUCUUCUCAACUUGACUAUGCAAUUGAUAGUUCACAUUCCUCUGUAAUGUGGAAAAUCAAAUAUUAGAUACUCAGAUUUUGUCUCCUUUCUAUUUUGCAGUGGGAGGGUACAAUUGGUACAAUUUUUACCUGUUUGGUUAUAAUAUUGUCUUUUAAAUAGUUACAGGAGAAUUAUAAUUUGAAAAAUAUAAAUCUGUUUAUCACUAAUAAAACAUAUUAAGGAAGGGGUAGAAUGGUCCAUUAUUAGUCUCUUUAAUAUCAGAGUACAUCAGAUCCAAACUACUGAAAGCUAGUUAUAGAUUUGCUAUAAAGAUUAUAUACAGUAGAGAAAGCAGUAUUACCUAACUCAAAACUACAUUAAAAGAAAAGGAAACUACAAAAUGAGUAAGAAUCAAAAGGCAAGAAGCUUUACAAUUAUUUUCUGAAUUUCUGAAAGGUAAAGGAAAGAAAAGAGAACUUCAUACUUCUGGCCGAGUACUCUAUGGUUCUGCAGAAGCUUCUGUUGCUCCUGCUGUGUUGCCAUCAAGUAAGGGUGUUGUGUUUGACCUGUCAGUUGCAGCGACUUGAUGCUGGCUUUCUUCAUUAAAUCUAUCUACACUGCGCAGAAAUAUUCCUGCCAAGUACACAUAAGUUAUGUUACUGAUGUCUUUUGAUGGAAAUAUGAGAAACUGUUAAUAGGUUAAUUAUCCACCUAAUAACUACAUCAAUUAUAUAUCUCCAAAGUGAUCUAUGUUUAUUUUUCUAUCUUUCAAAUUUUGGUUUUAACCAAAUGCGUAUAAUUGCAACUAAUGGGACUUUUGGGCAUAAUUGUAAGUUUUUUAAAAGGUCCUAAUUCUUGUGGUUCAAACUUAAAAUCUCUAACGAUUCACUUUUGUCCAAUAAGGAAUUUAGACCAUAAAAAAAAAAAAAAAAAGCUAAUUCCAAGGCCAUUUUUGUAGUGACCUACUUUUCUCCUGGGUUAAUGCAUGGUUGUGGUUCUUUCUCUUUUUUUUUUUUUUUUUUUUUUUUUUUUAUGUGUAUAACCAGGAGGUGUAAUCACUUUGGGUCAUCAAAUGUAAAAAUUUUUGGCCUCCCAGCAAAGUGCGCUUCCCAGGGAUCGACUUGUGUUCUCACCCUGUUGAGGAUUGAGGUUGCUUACCACUCCAACCAACACCUUAUUGAUAUUCAUAUAGACUAGAUGAGUGUUAUCCAAAGAUUCAAUCCUACCAAACAUUGACCUACUAGCUAUUUUAAUGAAAGCACUAGGAAAUACAAAUACCUAUACACCAUAUCCCUGCUGCUGGAAACAAAAUGGCUGUCAGAACAAGAGCAGUCUCCCUCCAAUUGUUGACAUAAUCCUGUAAGAUAUUUCCAAAGUUUAGUAACUAAAGUUGUCGAUACAAGCCAUAUGCAAGUAAAAUAUUGAGAACGUAAAACCCCAAAUCAAAAGCAACUCUGUAGCCAUCAUUUUCUACAUGGCCACAAACAAUGCAAUAUCAAAAUUAUAUAUAUACGUGUGCUGGCCAUCUUCAUGGUAAUUUUCUCUGCAUUUGCAUUUGCUUCUAUUUCCAAGUAUGGUUUUAGAAGAAAGAAAAAAAGUCAUGCUUCUUUCUUCAAAAUUCAUGCAUAUCCUAUUGGCGUUCUUUUACAAACAAUAGUUUCACAGUGGCAAAGACAUGACCAUUGAAGCAAAGACAACAAACCUGGAGGACGCCAACAAGGGGGGAGGAAGGCACAUCUCCAAAGAUAUGAAUUGAAACAGUAGAAAUAGCCAUAGAUAAGGGUCUCAUACUCGGUGCAACACAAUGAAGACAAAUGAAAUUUACAGGACCCUGCACAAAUACCAUGGAUUUUAUGCUGCGAGAAAUGUUUCAAAUUGUGAACAUUAACAUGUAAUAACUUGUAUUGGAGAAUUGAAUGGUGCAAGCAAUUGAGAGGAGGUCAUUCUUGCUUAAGAAAAGGAAUACCUGAGUUGCAAAGACAAGCAGUUCCCCAAUUGCGAAGAGAGCAAGAAAAAUAUACAUGCUCUUGAAACAGAAAGCAGUGAAGCAAAAUAUUGCCCCAAGAAAUGUAGCAGCAGAAAGAAGCUGUAAAAGGAUAGAAGAUAUUCAGAGACAAUCUAUGACUUGGAAUCAGAUAUUCUAAACAGUUGAACUAUAGUGCUUUGUGACAUUGUAAUGUAGGCAAACUCAACCGGACUAUACCUUUCUACAAUGAUAAAGCGAGCAAAAUCUCAUGAUAAUGUAGGUCAGCAAAUACCAUGAAGGUAAUCAAUCAUUAGUCAUAUUACACCUCAUUCAGCAUCAGUGAGCAGUGUAUGUUUGUUAAACUAAGAAUCUUAGUUUACUAGCUGAAACAACAUUAUAGAGACUAGCAAUGACAGCUCACUUUUUAAUCUCUCACAUCCAUUGCUAACUGUUUGAGGGGCUACAGCCCAAAACCAUUUCAUAGUUGACAGAAAACCUAAAAAAGACUUAAGAUUGUCAGUAGAUCCACAAGAACGAUAAGGCUUAAAAAGCCUUCUCCUUCAAUAAGCCAUAAAUUAUUGAUGUUCAUGAUUAUCUAAACUCUCUCCCGCAUCCUUCAUCCAGAAAAAAAAAAAAAAAAAAAAAAAAAAAAAAAAAAAAAAAAUUCUGAAGUAACAUGAUUGUUGACUUCAUGAAAGCAUGUACCUUAAAAGCAUUAGGGAUUGUCGAAGUCAUGAAAUCCAAAAUAUAUCCGCCUGCUAUUGUGCCAAGUAUUCCACAAACUAUUGUAAUUCCUCCAAAUAUCAUAUCUGCAUUGGUCUGCCAAAAGAACAUGAUUUUAAAUGAGGCAGCUAGCUACUUCACCAAACCUUUUCUUGUCCUAACCCAUUUUUUGCCAAUUUAAUGAAAUUACUACCUUUUAUGAGAUUACAAUGUGAGAUUAAACAGAAAAAGAAAAAUAAAUCAAAUUCUAAAUGUCAAAGAAAAAUAUUACCAUUUUGUAGAUAUUAUAACCAGCCUUAGGGCCCCAAUAUGAGUAUGCACCAAUGACGAAAUUGUAUGCUAUGUAGCCUGAGAAAACAGAAGGCCAGGCUCAGAAAAUUGGCUCAUAAACACAUAGCCAAUGCAGCAUGCUUCUAAUAAUGUUUUUACAUCUAAGCUGUCCUCUAAGAAUCUCAUGGGAAAUAAAUCCAUAAACUGGCUGACUGUAGUUUAAUAAUAAAUGUGGUCAAAAGCUAAACAGAAGCAUCAGAGAUGUAUUGGACGACAAUGAAAUUACUUCCAAAACCUUUACAUAAUUAUCCUUAAAUAAAAUUUGAAAAAAAAAAAAAAAAAAAACUAAGAAAAUAUAUUUAUUCUGAAUAAACCACAAGGGUGAGAAAGAAAAUACCUAGAACGUUCACAACAAAGACCUUCUCAGCCAAAAGAAUUUUCAUGUCUUUCAUAAACCUUGAGAAUUGAUUCAAACCAAUGGCUGUGUACCUUGACCUGCAAUCAAUAUUACAUCCAAAAAGCUUAAAUACAUAUUACACCCAUCAGCAUUCAUACACAUACCAACUUAACAUUAACAAAUAAAUUUAAACCGAAGUGUUAGACAACCUACAAAGCAGAUGGCACAUACAACUAAUGACUAAUAAUAUUUCAUGGAAUACAUAUGCGAGUAGUAUAAAAAUCACUUUGAACUAAUGUGUAAAUACGAGAUAAGGAUAAGUAACCUCACGUGCAAGACUGUUUUGAGCCUUUACCAUCUAACUCGUCCUGAACAGAUGGUGUGCCACCUUUACCAGUUGAAAUUUCGGCAUCUGUAUUAGCAUUAAAACAGAUUAAUAAUGUCUUGCUACCUAGAAAUAAACUCUUUAUUUAUAAAGGGACUAAAUUAUACCUAUAUUUUACUGGUGAAAUUAAUUUCUUAUACUGAAUGCUAAAGUGGCAUGUAACAAAAAAAAAUCCCAAACAAACUCUUUUGAAUAGGGAAUAAUGUGAUAAGUCAUUUAAUUGCCCACUUAUUAUGCUACCUUAAGUACACAAGUGUAAAGUAACAUACUAGACUAUGAUAUAUGCAUCCACAGGAUUAUUUGCUUCAAAUCCACCAUAUGUAGGGAAAUCAUAGUUGAUCAGUAAUGUGGCUCAGUUCAUCUAAAAUUAAUUCAACAGUUUAUUGAAAGAAUCAAACUUUGGAAGAGCAGAUAUGCUAUCUAAACUUUUCAAUUGCAACCUCCACUUGAAGUUUUAAAAUGCCUCAUUAAGAUGAUAAAAAAAAUUUUAAGAACUACAUUAAUGCAAAUGUAGCAAUAUGAUUGAACAGGAUAUUAGAAAAUAUAAUGAAGUAUACACAUACACGUACAUUCAACCACUUUAAAUGUCCUGGUAGAACACAUGAAACUUCAUCUGUUCUACAUCUAUUAAGUAGUGAAUUUGCUAAAAGGAAAACAAAGUAAAUGCACAAACUAUAUUGAAUGAUAUGAUGCUAUAUUGUCAUAAAACACAGCACCUUGAACUUCUGAGCAAGUUGUUUCUACAGAUGCCAGUGCCUUUUUUGAUUCAGCAGGAGCAAAACCUGCAUUAUAAAAUGUUUAGACACAGAUAGAAAAAGCCUUCAGCUCAAACUAAAAAGAAUAAUUCCAACUUCUACCUUUCAACUGUAACGGCUUCAUAACAUAACCUAAAACAGCAAAUGGAAGCAUCACAACUGCCUCUCCCCAGAAUGCCCAACGCCAACUAACAUGAUCUCCAACCUAUUAGGAACGAUAAGAUAUGUGUUAUUUUGAAUCUUAAAUAAAUUUGAGGAUAGGCAGUUGAAAGGGAAUGAAAACAUGACGUAUUCUAUAAUAGCAUAUGGUGAUGCCUUAACAGUUCUUACGGAUGUCGCAAAUGCAUGCAAAUGAGACCAUAAUUUAUAAAAAUAAUCUCAAAGAUCAACAGAACUAAUGAAUUAAGGAAUGAACUUACUAGUCCACCAUAAACAUAGCCAACAGCAUAUCCAGUUGGUAUGCACAUGUAAAAUAUUGCAAGCCAUGCUGUUUUCUGAUACAAAAGCAGGUAUUAGAUCCAGGUUUGCAGCACAAAAAUUAAUUGCAAAGAUGAUGUAGCAAAUCUGAUUCAAGAUGAGUAAGCUAAGAGUGAAGCAAAUGCAAACUUACAUUUAGAUCUAAUAUCCUUUAAGAUUUUAAAAAGUGCAUUGAAUGGAACAUCAGUUUUCAACCUUCCACCAAAUUCAUAUUGAAAUCAGUGUAUUAUUUCUUGAGUAUGUUUAUCAUAUCAUCAACAAAAUAAGCGCUACUUGGAAGUUACACACCUUUCUUUACUAGUAGUGGACUCAAGUCUAGGUCCCUACAGAUAAAGCUCAAGUACAAACGAAGUUCAGUGACAAGAGAUGACUAUCAAUCUUUUACCUCAGAAAUCAAACUCUGAAAUUUGAGAAAUACAUUUGCCAUAUUCACAUCUGACGUAAAAUCCAAUUUUCCAUCGCCACAAAUAUAUUACAUUAUGAAGCCUACAUCAAUGAUGUGAAAACAAUAAAAAUAAUAUUCCAUAAGAAGAUACUUUCAACUUCAUUUUGGUGUUAGGUUCAUGGGUGUAUGUGGUGAAAUUUGGUAAAUUUUAUUAAGGAACAGUAGGGAAAUUUCAAUUUCUUGUUUUACCAUAUUCAAACCUAACUUUACCAACUCUUAGGUUAGCAUAACAAAGCAUUGCAAUCCUAAUUGAGUGAAAACUCCAAUUGAUUGAAAAGAACAACUCUAGUAUAGGCUGAAUACAUUCUGAUAUUGGUUAAAUCAGUAAGUAUUCCAACGUCUUUUGCAAAGUUCAAGAUUUUGAGACAAUGAAAGCAUAUCUGUUUGUGAAGAGUAAUAAUGAUAUGCCAUGGCUAAACAAUAUUAGGGAUUCAGGUUGCAAAAUAGCUAGAAAAUUUUACAUGGCAUUGAUGAUAACAGCUAGAUAGCCUUAAAUGUACAGAUAAUAAUUGGAUUACCACGUGAAAUCAACAAGCAUCUCCCCAGCAGCAAGCAUUAAAAUACAGCAUAGCCAUAUAUGUCAAACUGAAUUAGUUGACAUGUCAAAUGCCAGAAGUUGCAUAGUUUUCCAGCCAUUCCUAUGAUAGAGACCGCACACUCAUUUUACAUACAAAUCUGAUGCUCCAUUCUGGAGCAAGUGAAAGUGAGGUGAAGAAAGAGGGGUACUGAAAGUUGACGGAAAUCAAUUGCUUCUCAUUUUUUUUCAGAAAGGUAAGGUGAGAGAAGGAGAGCAAAAAAAGGUUAAUGUUUUUUCUCAGGCUCACCAAAUAUCAAUCAUUAUAGAGUUCAGAGAUAGGUGGGGGAAAAUCCUCAGUGUAUUUGUAAUUAAAAAUUUAUCAUUAGUAUUUCUUUCUAAAGUGAUAAGGAUAAAAUUAUAAUUACAAUUUCAACUUUUAAAAUUUCAUUUCCUUCUCUCUUUCCAUUUCCUCUCCCCAACAUUUCUACCUGUUACAUACGAAAGAGGAUAAAUAUAAAAUCUCCUCCCUCAUUUUGUCUCUCCCUAAUCUACCUUCUUUUCUAAACAAAGGGUGAUGUGUUUCAGUUAUAUACAAUAAACACUGCAAGCAAAAUAAUUUAAAACUUCCAUAGCAAAACCAAAGAAAAGGAAACCUGAGCCAGAGGGGCAUUAUCAUCAAUAAAUGGCGCUGCAAGACUAAUAAAUGAAGCCUCACCAACACCAACAAACCUAGGAACGACAAGCAAAAGUGUUAACCAGUUUACUUCUGCUGUGAAGAUAUUAAAAGAGAGAAAAUAGGUAAUCUACUUACAUGCGGCAGAUUAUUAUGGACCAGAAAUUAAAUGAAAAACCACAACCAACUACAGCAAGUGUCCAAACUGAUAAUCCAACUCCAAUUAGCCUAAAUGGAUUAAAGCUGCAAAAUAUCAUAUAUGAAUCAGGAUUCACUGAAGGUAAAUCUACGAGAAUAAGUAAGAUUCUAAUAUUUCUUGAAAUUCCAAAACUAUGGGGAAAACAAUUUUUUCCCCCUUUAAUCCUUGUGAGUAACAGAAAAAUAAGCAUGGAGGUGAAAAACCUCAAAUUAUGCCAUAUCAUGGUAAAAGAAACAAUUGAACAUGAUUUUAGACUUGCAUCAAACUUGACACUGAGAGUUUGAAUGCAUAAAAUAUUAUAGAUGACUACUUUUGAGCCCAAUUGAACUUUAAAUUUUGUGCAUUAUUUGAGAGAAAUUUUAAGAAAAAUUUUCCUUUUACCAAAAGGAUUAGACUUCACAAUCCACAUAUAUUAGAUAUACAAAUUUGCGAUCACCAAUUCAAAAACACACAAAUGCACAGGCAAACCUGCAAAGAACCUUUUGCGAUUGAAGUCCAUCAUGAAGACUACAUGACCUAAAUAUGCUGCAAGCACAAGGCUCAGUAUUGAAGCUCUGGCAUCAGUGAUGCUUACAAGCAUGACACCGGGAAUAACAUUAAUAACCUACUUCUUUGGAUUGCUUUCCCACAAAUAAAGGCACAAUUAAAUUUCAUAAAAAAAAAAAAAAGGUUUCAAGCAGUUCAAGUUAUCAUGGUUCUCCGCAGUCAUCAUUGACAUAAAAGCAACAUCCGACAAAAGGAUUAUAUUUUAUUUGAUAAAUGGCCACCUGCUCAUGUAAUUUUAUUGUUUUAUCUUUCUCCAUACUAUUAUUUGAUAAAUGGACAAUUUUCUAUUCCAUCUGUCCCUCCACAAAAUAAUUUUUGAAUUGGAAGAUAACUUUACACCGAGCCUAAGUUUCUGGAAUAAUAGAGUCAACAAGAAGUGUCUGAAAAUCGUUACUUCUUUGCUAGUGAUGCAAAUAUUGGAGAAGCAACAAGAAGUCCAACCAUGAAAGCAGAUGAUAAAAGUCCAUCUUCAAAAUUGUUUAAAUUGAAGUCCCCCCUGUGCAAAAGGAGACAUAAUUAGGUUAAAACUGUUUGAGUUUCAGCAACUGGUAUGUAUCACUGUCACUGCUCAACAAGUGGGUGGAAGCUAAAGGAAGCAUAAUUCUGACACUAAAUUCCACAUAAAUUAAGAAUAAAUAGGAAAUUAGAGGAGCAUCAAACAUGAAAAAUUUACAAUUUAAAAGUUCAUUAUUUUGUGGGUUGCUAAAUUCAGUUAUCAUUGGCAGACUGGAGUGGAUGGACACCAAAUCAGAAACGGGUUUCUCAGUCUUCACAAUUUCAGCUUCCCCGUAAGCGUAAGGAAGAAAAUAUUGCCAAGUCCUUCUACAAUUACUUUACUUUCUCAUUUUCAUUUUGGGUUAAUUUGGCUGUGACUGGGGUUCAAACUUCCAACUUCAUGGCUUUGAAGAUGACUUCAGCACUAGUAAGCCAAAGCUCAUUGGCACUUUUAACUUUUAUAUAUAUAUUGUCAAAUAUUAAAGAUAUACAACUAUCCUUGACCUCUCAGUUAGAAUAGUUUUUUUAACACAGCACCAGAGCUUCUUUGACUGAGUGGGGGAAACUUUGAAUCCUAUUUACCCUUUUGGUAUAGGUCAACUUGUGUUGUCCAUGCACUCAUACCCAACAUUGAAAGGAAGGAUUUUAGAACACUAACCCUACUUACUAUGAUCUAUAGCAACCAUUUAGACUGAGUGAUUUAGAUCUUAUCUAAUAAUAUUAUGAGGUCAAGAAAGGCAUGCUGCCUGGGAAAGGAUCUCCUUAUGAAAUCAAGAUUGUAAACCCCUCAAUUCCAAUCAAGUGAUUUAAGUCCAUUAUGAAGUCCAACAAAAGGUCCUCUACCUAAGAACUAAAUUAAAAGCAAGGCAUGUCUUUUGGACAAAGUGGUUUAAGUCCACUAUGAGGGGUCAUUAAACCUACCACCAUCAAGAUUGUAGAAAAAAGUAGUGGGCACUAGCCUAAAAUGUUUUAGAGGUCAAAACGAAAGCUUCCAGGUAAGUCUUACUGUAUUCCACUGCCAGAUGUGCAUGUACCACUUUUCGAGCAACUUCUGCGACUCCCAUUAACACCAUUACUUGCUAUAGCUCCUCGAUCAAUGUAAUUUAUCAGGUUGAUAACGCAAAAGACGACUAGCAGCCUGAAAAGAAGAGCAAUAUAAAGCAUAUUAAGACACCUAUUUAGCAACAAACUUCAAAACAUAGAUCUUAAAAUUUGCAAAUCAUAAUAAAGAAACAAACAAUCACAACACAAAAUUUCACAAUGCCAGCCAGAAUACAAAAAUAGGGUACCAAAACGUGAUUCUGGUAUAAAAUUUAGCGUGAAUUCCAGCCAGAAUACAAAAUUAGGGUGUCAUUAAUAAUUUCUAACAAACACUAAUCAACAAAAUGUUGAAUGAAAUUCUAUAUUUGCCAUUACAUUUCCUCCUUGGUUUUUUUUUACAAAGUUUCAAAACUUAAUCACAUAGUUUAGAUUCGCUUAUUUUCAUCUUGAGUUCACCUAACUUAGAAUAAUUAAGUCAGCCAGUCGAGAAACCAAAAAAUUACUAACAAUAAUCAAACCCACCCCCCCCCCCCCCCCCCCCCACACCUCUUAAAUUCUUAAACCCAUAUGUGCAUUACCCAUUCAAAGCAUGAACACCCAAAAAGAAGAGAAAAGAUCCAAUUCUUGUUUCAAAUCCCAAAAGACCAAGAAACACAGACCAAAAACGGCCAAUUUAGGAAUCAAAACAGCGAGUUAAAGAGGAACCUUUUUGGGGUAAACCAAGAGGGAGUAGGAGCAGACAAUGAACUUGAGCUUUUGGCCAUCUGAGUUUCAACUGUUGGGCUUGGCUCAUCAGACGAAGACGGCUUUGUUUCCUCGGUUUCUUCUUGUGCCAUGAAAGAGAUAUAAAGAAAUAUCUUAUUGAAGAAACAACCACAGCUACUUGGCCUUUGAAUAGUAGUUAAAGAAAGUUAACUACUUUUCCAUCACUCUCUCAAGUCUCAAUGCAGAAGAGUGUUUGUCUUUUAUUGAAAAUGAGUUUUUAACAUUUUGCAUUUCUGUAAUCAUUUCGUCAACAUAGAAAAAGCUUUUACCUCCAAGAUGAAAUUUUGAGCUGUAAAAAACUGCCUCUAAUCGGAUUUGGUUAUCUCGGUAACAAACUGACGCGCAUCUCUGUUUAGAUUCAGGUAAAGUUGCUCUAUUCCUUCACUUUUGCCAUGCCUAGGAGUCCUGGGACAGGGAUUCAGUGCGGCUAGCGCAAAAGCACUAUCUCACCAACUGGCAGAAGUAAAUAAUUUUUUCUUGACGUAACAGAAAUAAUACUGUAAGUUAUAUAAAAAAAUAAUUUUCUCCUCGAUCCAUAAAAUUGAUGAAAAUUUUUACACACAGAUACUCAAAUUUGAUAUUUUUUACUCGUGAAUUGAUUGAAAAACAAUUAAAUAAUAUCUUUAUAAGGACAAUGCAUUAAAGUAUCAUAUUAUUUUAAAGGGAUAUUGAGAUAUUAUGUUGGUUAUUUUUUCUAUUCAUUGAAGGUCGAAUGAGUAGAAAUAACACUCGAAACUGUACAAGACUUGAACUUGAUAACUCUCAUUCUUCACAUAAUUGAAAAUUUUACGUACGAACAUUUGUAGUGUGACACAGGGACAAACCGAGACAUGAAUACUUUAUAUACACCUAAGAAGCUAAUUUGUUUAAAUGAGAAUUUUGUAGUUCUAGAGGCAAAAAUUCAUAUGAUUUUAUUCCUACAACUUCAAUAUCGAAUAGAACAAUUGGAUUUUGUAAACUCACAAUUACACUAAAUAUUUCCUUUUCUAGCUCUACAGCAAAGGAAAUUGAGCUUUACCUAGGCUUUAGGAGAAUUUACUUUCAUAUUAUCCAUAUCAUCUCAUCAGGUGCACACGGAAGCGCCGAUCUCUCCAUACCUGGCCGACUGUCAAAUUCCACAUUUUCAUCAUUUGCAGGACCGUCCUCAUAAACCCAUGGUGACCCACUUCAUCCCAAUUCCAUACAAACAAGGUACAGCAAUGUCACAUCAUAAUUAAUCAAGCAUUAUAAUUAAGUGCAAACACAUCAAACAAUUAAAUAUCAUGAUGCAAGUGUACAACUAGACAUUCAUAUUCAAUUACAAUUAAAGAAAGAAGUAGUAAUUGACAAUAUAUUAUAGUAAUUGAUCCUUGAAAAAUAAAUAAAUAAAUAAAUAAUAAUAAAAUAAAUAAAGAAAUUUAUUUUAAAUAUAUUAAGUUAAAGAAUUAAUCUAAAUAAACCUAUUAACUUAAUUAUUCAUUAUGACUAGGCUAGAUUUUAUCGAAAUUCUAGCUCCCCUAAAAUUUAACUAAACCACAAUUUUCAAAUCCCAUCCAUCGAACAAUCAAUCAAACUAAACUCCCAUCUUCCUUCAACAGCCAAAUCAUCAUUCAACCAUAAUUCUAAAAAUUAAAACGACCCUCAGUAUACAAUUUUAUGUAUUCUUCCAACUUGAUACAAUACGAUUAUCAACCACCUUUGCUUUACAUCCAGGUAAUUAGUUCUUUAGUUAAUUACCAAAUGAUUAAAGUCCUUUAUUAAUAUAUAUAAUUAUAACCAAUCUUUAUUUCACUAACCUUAGUCAAUGCAUAAGUAUCAACUAAUAAAAUCCUUGACUAGCCAUAAAGAAUCAACGUUCCAAUUAGACUUUAAUCUAAAUAACUUACCUUAUGAAUAACCCAAUUCGCACUUGAAUAUGUGCCAAUAUCAACAUGUAUAAUUAUCCACCUUUUUAUAUACACCAAGUAAUCGGUCUUAGUUAAAUUAAGUUAACAAUUAUCUAAUUCAUUGACUAAGUCUUUCUACGGUUAUGUUAUCUGCUAUUCAAAUAAUUUAAAUUCUUAUUAUUUAAGUAUAUUCACUUCUAUAUUCAACUAUUCCAACAUAAAGGUCAAAAUAUCCUAAAUGACUUAUAUUUCUAAUUUCCAGAAUCAAGUGUGUUUAUCCAUCGAGAUUCCCUAUCAGGAAUCAUAUUCAAUUAAUUUUUUUUCUAGUUUAUUAAUUAUGUUUCACGUAUAGAGAAUUAUGUAGCUAAACAGUUCUAAUUGUAUAUUCAGAAUCUACACGACGAAUCCAACGAGUCCUUCAAUUAACUAUUUAUUCAGAUUUAAUUUAAUCAAUUAAUAGUUUUACAGUUUGGAAUUUAUACUAAAAAUUAGGAACGGGUCUUAGAGCAUAGACGAUUCCACGAUCAGUGGGAGGAGAACAAAUUUUUGUCUCUUGGUACCUCGCCGGACCGCCCCGUCGGCACUCAGACAACCCAGAAUUUAGCAACCCGCACAGCAAAAUGCUCGAAAUCUCCUCGGGACUCCGAUUCCGUCCCAACUUGGACUGGGUGUGCCAAUUUUGGCCGGAAAUGGCCCCGACAGUGGCUUCACCGCUGCCAUCCAUGGCGGAUCCUUCGAACGAGCUUGUCGCCGGAAUGGAUGGGAAAAAGGGGCUCGCCUCGGAGAGAGAAGGCGAUUUGCGCUCACCUCAUAGCCUGAAAUGAGCGGAAACAGUGAGUACCUCGCCGGAAAAGCGGAUCGCAAGGUGCGAAGUUUUUUUCGUCCCGAUCUCCCUUGCUGCCGGCCUUCACUGCUUAAACCGAAGUUACAGAUGGAUUCCUUUCGUCGAGCGCUUGAGGUUUGAGUGCUCACUUGCCGGAAUCAAUGGCCGUAGGCCGGAGAACGAAGGAAAAAACGAAAAUGGGAAAAUGCCCUGGAGAAGAAGAAGAGAAGAAAAAGAAAGAAAAAGAAAGGCAGUUUCUAGAGUGUUAUGGGCAUUCCGGUUCGAUUCGAAUUGAUUUGAUCUAAAUCAGCGAUCUGACUCGAUUUCGGCUUGAUAUACAGGUUUUUCACCUGUUUUAAAAAAAUUUAAGCUAAUUUACGAGUCCCGUCUAGCAACAAUAAAAUAUUUGUUGUAUAAUCUCUUGGUAAAAACUUAAUUUUCAAAUGAAAAUUUUACGAAAUUAAAUUUUCGGGUUGUUUCAGUAAUAAUAAAUAUCAAUUAUAUCAAUGAUCUAAUUUUUAAUUAAUGAUAAACAUUAAUUAUUUCUUUUGCAUUUUUAUUUAGAUAUAAAAUUAAUUUUGACAAGUUAAUUUAAGUAUUUACAUAUGUUUGAUUUUCU
Molecule: long non-coding RNA, 32381 nt
Filed under: Jatropha curcas
Lineage: Eukaryota; Viridiplantae; Streptophyta; Magnoliopsida; Malpighiales; Euphorbiaceae
Description: long non-coding RNA (JCUR_LNC001533)
Source: RNAcentral